AUGAAAAGUCAGCUUCUACAGGAGAAACUUAGAGCUAAGGCUCUGAUCAAACCUUACAGAAUUCUGUAUGUCACACAAAGAGAGAACUGAGCUGUUUUGAUCAUUAUAAUUGGUCGUAGAAAAUCAUUUUGGAAAUCCUAGAUCGCUAAGGAAUCUGGGAUGUGAGGAAAAGCUAUGCUAAAAGAACACUAACUUGGUUGGCACACACUUGAGGAGCAGUGAGAAGACUAAGCCUGAUGGAAUUACGAGGUCUGUAAAUCACGUGGUUUAGAGGCAGGCGUGAAUUCAGUCAAAUGGGGGUUCAAGACCUCAUUGGAGGAAGCAACUGUGAAUAUGGAAAUAGCAAGAGAACUGGAAUUAAAAAUGGAGCCUGAAGAUGUGACUGAUUUGCCACAAUUUUGUGAUAAAACUUUAAGUAAUGAAUAGUUGCUUCUUACAGAUGAGCAAAGAAAUUGGUUUCUUGAGAUAAAAUUUACUCCUGCUGAAGAUAUUCAGAAUGGUAUUGAAAUGACAACAAAUGAUUUAAAAUAAUCACAUCGAUGUAAUUGAUGAAACAACAAGGAUUGAGAGGGUUGACUCUUACUCUGAAAGAAAAUUUACUCAAGGCAGAAUGCAAAUAGCUUUCCUGCUAUGAAGAAAUAUUUUGUGAAAGCAAACUUUAAUUGAUGGGGCAAAAUUUAUUUAAAUUUAAUAAAUGCAAUUUAUUUAACAGAAAAUAUAAAUUUUAAGAAAUUACCGCAGCCACCUCAGCCUUCAGCAACCAUGACUCUAAUCAGUCAUCAGUUAUCAAAAAGAAGGCAUGACCAACAAGAAACAUUAAAUCUUUCUUUAAGCUCUGAUGAUUAUUAGCAUUUUUAGCAACAAAGUAUUUUUUUAGUUAAGGAUACAGCUUUUAUUAGAGAUAUACUAGUGCACACUUGAUAGGCUAUAGUAAUGUAAACAUUUACAUGUUCCAGAAAAUAAAAAAUUUAUGUGACUUGCUCUAUUGAAAUAUUGGUUUUAUCAUGGUAGUAUAGAAAU
RNAcentral lists this long non-coding RNA (1020 nucleotides) under Callithrix jacchus (white-tufted-ear marmoset). RNAcentral describes it as "lncRNA (ENSCJAG00000086922.1)". The record is from RNAcentral. Lineage: Eukaryota; Metazoa; Chordata; Mammalia; Primates; Cebidae.